Molecule: ribosomal RNA, 460 nt
Filed under: uncultured bacterium
Lineage: Bacteria
Description: partial 16S ribosomal RNA
Rfam family: Bacterial small subunit ribosomal RNA
Source: RNAcentral
CCUACGGGAGGCAGCAGUGAGGAAUAUUGGUCAAUGGGCGCUAGCCUGAACCAGCCAAGUAGCGUGAAUGAUGACUGCCCUAUGGGUUGUAAACUUCUUCUAUAUGGGAAUAAAGUGCAGUAUGUAUACUGCUUUGCAUGUACCUUUUGAAUAAGGAUCGGCUAACUCCGUGCCAGCAGCCGCGGUAAUACGGAGGAUCCGAGCGUUAUCCGGAUUUAUUGGGUGUAAAGGGAGCGUAGGCGGGUUGUUAAGUCAGUUGUGAAAGUUUGCGGCUCAACCGUAAAAUUGCAGGUGAUACUGGCAGCCUUGAGUGCAGGAGAGGUAAGCGGAAUUCGUGGUGUAGCGGUGAAAUGCUUAGAUAUCACGAAGAACUCCGAUUGCGAAGGCAGCCUGCUGGACUGUAACUGACGCUGAUGCUCGAAAGUGUGGGUAUCAAACAGGAUUAGAUACCCCAGUAGUC